Molecule: long non-coding RNA, 400 nt
Filed under: Pan troglodytes (chimpanzee)
Lineage: Eukaryota; Metazoa; Chordata; Mammalia; Primates; Hominidae
Description: long non-coding RNA NONPTRT000844
Source: RNAcentral
AGAAAUAUUCAGGCCUAUUCACUAUGAAUUCUAUUAGACAUGUAAAGAAGAAAUAAUGCCACUUUUAUACAAUCUAUUUCAGAAAACAGAAAAGAUGGGAGCAAUUCCCAACUCAUGAAAUGAAGCCAGCAUCACCCUGAUAUCAAAACCAGAAAAAUAAUAUUAAUAAUAACAAGAAAACAGAACUGUGGACCCGUAUCCUUCAUAAACAUAGGUGCAAAAUACUCAACAAAAUAUUAGCAGAUUGAGUCCAGCAAUAUAGGAACAAGUAAAGGAUGUCCACUGUUAGCAGUCAACGUCAUGUUCAGUAUUGCACUGGAAGUUGUAGUCAGUGCUGUAAGUCAGGAAAACAAAAGACCUACACAUUAGAAGGAAGAAACAAAACUGUCCUUAUUUGCAG